AUUGAACGCUGGCGGCAGGCCUAACACAUGCAAGUCGAGCGGAUGAAGGGAGCUUGCUCCUGGAUUCAGCGGCGGACGGGUGAGUAAUGCCUAGGAAUCUGCCUGGUAGUGGGGGAUAACGUCCGGAAACGGGCGCUAAUACCGCAUACGUCCUGAGGGAGAAAGUGGGGGAUCUUCGGACCUCACGCUAUCAGAUGAGCCUAGGUCGGAUUAGCUAGUUGGUGGGGUAAAGGCCUACCAAGGCGACGAUCCGUAACUGGUCUGAUAGGAUGAUCAGUCACACUGGAACUGAGACACGGUCCAGACUCCUACGGUAGGCAGCAGUGGGGAAUAUUGGACAAUGGGCGAAAGCCUGAUCCAGCCAUGCCGCGUGUGUGAAGAAGGUCUUCGGAUUGUAAAGCACUUUAAGUUGGGAGGAAGGGCAGUAAGUUAAUACCUUGCUGUUUUGACGUUACCAACAGAAUAAGCACCGGCUAACUUCGUG
This 484-nucleotide ribosomal RNA is filed under the name uncultured bacterium. Its description in RNAcentral is "partial 16S ribosomal RNA". It matches the Rfam family "Bacterial small subunit ribosomal RNA", at positions 30 to 507 of the family's 1533-position model. The record is from RNAcentral.